This is a long non-coding RNA of Hippoglossus stenolepis (Pacific halibut), 1303 nucleotides long. RefSeq lists it as uncharacterized. The record is from RefSeq and is a predicted model, not a curated record. The transcript is spliced from 3 exons. NCBI's taxonomy places the organism in Eukaryota, Metazoa, Chordata, Actinopteri, Pleuronectiformes, Pleuronectidae.
UGAGUCAGGAGGCCACGGUAGGAUCGCAACUUUGUGCGACAGCUCUCACACCUUCAUAAAAGGGAGGCAAUGUUACAUGACUAAGGAUAUUUUACUAACGUGUACAUGCAUCUCAGCUGCGAGUAAAAAAAAAGACCCACUCACAAGUAGAAGAUGUUGGGUUUGUGAUGAUGUCUCAUGUGUUCCAUCAGUUUCUGCAUGUUAGGGAAGGAACCACUGCAGCCGACGGUGGAGCACAGCAAGAUCUUCCCUAAAGAGAGCACAGUGUUCCCCUAGUGUCAUGUGUUGCACCACAUCUUACAGCUCCUCUUCACACCCGGACCAAAAUUUAUAGCCAGUAAAAAUCAGGGUUAGGUACCGUUCACAUUUGAACCAAUAAUGGUGCCGGUACCUAGAAUUCAGUACCUUUACCCAACACUACUAUUUUUCGUAACUUUACUCUCUCUGUACAACAAAAAAAUGUCCGACCAUGGUUUUUCCUGCAGCAAAUUUCGAGCCACCUCCAUAAGCACAAUGGAUACCGCUUAUAGUGAUCACGUUUGUGCCAUUAUAAACUAACUUAGGUGAAAAUUUUACCAAUUUUCCAAUAUUAACAUUAUAAUCACUCAUAAUGCUGUUACUUUUAUAUAGGGGAUAUCAUACUGAUACACAUGGAGCUGGAAAAAAACUUGGUGAACAGAAAUAAUAGGUGAACAAUUUCUCUGUGACCUAUACUUUCGUUAGCCCAAAUCUCCCUAAAAGGGAUAGUUCACCCAAACAUUUUAAUUCACUCAUUAUCUACUCACCACUAUGUCAUUUAUAUAUAAAUAUAUAUAAGUACAUUCGCUGGUUCCCUUUGAUGUCCCCUCUAGGAAUGGCUCUUGAGAAAUUUCUGUUUACCGUCUCCCACAGUGAGAUGAAAGAUCCGCCCCUGCCUGCCCUGGACAAAUACUUCAUAACGCAAGAGAAAUAAUCCUCUGUGACAUAAAUACUCAUUUAACGCCAGCGUGUCUUUUCGCUGCCCACAACAUAACAGAGAAUCUCACCAGGGAGAGACUGAGCGGGGAUUUCAUGGUCCUGGAUGUGACGGUCCAGGGUGCCGGUGUCUGUGUACACUCUCUUACAGCCGGGAUACGGGCACGACGUCCUCUUGUUCCCUGAAAGAAAUGAACGGUACUUGAACAUGUCGCACAUGCCUGCAACACUGUGCUGCCUGAAGACAUUACAGUCGUAGAGUAGGUGCUCAGAAGUGACGACGAUGGAGGAAGGUGACUCAGACAGCCUGCACCUGUGGAUGUCCAACAUGAGACACAACUGGAAUCCA